This 324-nucleotide unclassified non-coding RNA is filed under the name Hevea brasiliensis (rubber tree). Lineage: Eukaryota; Viridiplantae; Streptophyta; Magnoliopsida; Malpighiales; Euphorbiaceae. The record is from RNAcentral.
GAGAGAGAGAGGGCAUGGGCGUGUGUUUAAGACAUUUUUUAGAGAGAGAGAGCUGGGCGGGAUGCGAAAACCGUUUCGGGGGCUUAUCUGGAAAAGUGAAUUUUCCGUUUUAUUUUUCUUGCGUUUUCUUUCGCGAGAAAAUUCUAGGGAGGGAAUGAGAAAAGCCGAAAAGGGCGGGUUGGUCUUGCCCCGUUCCAACCAUUUUCCCUUCUUGCCGACGCGGGACUUGAGCCCAGUCCGUUAGUGGAUUCGGUGUUCUCUUUUUUAGCCUCAGCCCUCCGGCCUGUCAAUUCACGCAGCUGACAUCUCACAGAUCACUUGCGC